CUGAUAACAAAGUAGGAAAAAAUAAAUUCCAAUAGCUUUAUAAAUUUUUUUUUUCCAUUCAAACACUUUGCAAACACUGAGCAGUGAAUGCCUAUGUUACACAUCAAUUUCUCCUCCUCUCUAUAAAUUUAAUGAGUCCUUAAAGAUAUUUGAAGACUUACUAGUCUAAAGAAGUAAAGUAGAAAGAGAAAUUUCAGACCAUUGUCUAAAUAAUAUAUGAAAGUGGCUGCAAGACUAGUGUGUGUCAUGUUUGUCACUUUCAUGGCGGACAGGACAUGUGAUAAUGGUUUAGAUCACAACCAAGAAGAUUUAUAUUACAUGUUUUCAAAGACUUUUUAUUUACAAGGAACAGAAAACAUGGAUUUGGAGUCUAAAGGCAAUGUGAGAUCUCUGGCAGUAGGAGGAUACGUGUCAUGGUGAUAACAAGGUAAAAUUGUCUGAGACCAUGUAGAAAGCUGAGACGGGAACUAAGAUCUUAGGCAGAUUCUCAUUCUCACAGUUCUCACCUUCUGCUUACCUUCCAGAGUGCCUUUUCUUUGCAGAGUGCCUCUGAUCAUGCAGACCAGGAGCAGCUGAUGAGUAGGCUACAGACCAGCCCUGGCCUGUCCACACUUCCCCUUCUGUUUCUGUGUUUUGGACAUCCCUGUUUGGAUCACUGGUGUUGACAGAUAUUUGGGGAACAAGAAGAAAGAAUAUGGCAAAAUUUGGAAAAGAUUUUGGGUGCUUCCCCCAAAUGGCAGGGGCAGAGCUUAAAGGGGCAAUCAAACUGAAAUGCAUUGGAAAGGCAGAAAGAAGUGUAACACAGAAGCAAAGGCAAACUAAUGAAAGUCAGAAUGAAUUUAUGAGGCACCUUAGUGAAACAAGUGGUUAUGCUGAAGAUGAACCAAUGGCAUUUACUCUUUUAAGUCUGCAUGUAGUACGGAACUCACAUGAUUCGAAAGAUACAAUGCCAACUUUCUCCAAAAUGAGAAUUGAGGAUGAAGCAAAGUGGCAACAUGAGAUAUUACAGCAUAAUUUCAGAUCUGCUUCACAUUUCACUUACCAUCCUUGUUUUUCCUUGUGA
RNAcentral lists this long non-coding RNA (1063 nucleotides) under Anas platyrhynchos platyrhynchos (common mallard). RNAcentral's name for it is "lncRNA (ENSAPLG00000024550.1)". Lineage: Eukaryota; Metazoa; Chordata; Aves; Anseriformes; Anatidae. The record is from RNAcentral.